Molecule: long non-coding RNA, 298 nt
Filed under: Homo sapiens (human)
Lineage: Eukaryota; Metazoa; Chordata; Mammalia; Primates; Hominidae
Description: HSALNT0265196
Source: RNAcentral
GGAUAAUCUAGCAAUAAGCCUGGAUAACCAGUCUUCUCCAUCUCCUCCAGUUUUGAUCCCACCACUCAGAAUGUUUGCAUCAUGGCUGUUUAAGGCGGCGACACUGCCAAAUGAAUAUAAGGAAGGCAAACUACAAGCCUACAGGCUGAUCUGUGCCAUGAUGACCAGACGCCAGGACGUUCUGCCAAACUCAGAUUUCCUGGUGCAUUUUUACCUUGUGAUGCACCUGGGAUUAACCAGCGAGGAUCAGCAGAGUUGAGAUCACAGAUAAAUGAGCACAGAAGCCACGAAGAGCUGG